UACGUAGGGUGCAAGCGUUGUCCGGAAUUAUUGGGCGUAAAGAGCUCGUAGGCGGUCUGUCGCGUCUGCUGUGAAAACCUGGGGCUUAACCCCGGGCCUGCAGUGGGUACGGGCAGACUAGAGUGCGGUAGGGGAGAUUGGAAUUUACGGUGUAGCAGUGAAAUGCGUAGAUAUCGUAAGGAAGACCAGUGGCGAAGGCGGAUCUCUGGACAGUUACUGACACUGAGGCACGAAGGCCAGGGGAGCAAACGGG
Molecule: ribosomal RNA, 253 nt
Filed under: uncultured bacterium
Lineage: Bacteria
Description: partial 16S ribosomal RNA
Rfam family: Bacterial small subunit ribosomal RNA
Source: RNAcentral